RNAcentral lists this ribosomal RNA (2929 nucleotides) under Bacillus cereus. RNAcentral describes it as "bacterial LSU rRNA". It matches the Rfam family "Bacterial large subunit ribosomal RNA". Lineage: Bacteria; Bacillati; Bacillota; Bacilli; Caryophanales; Bacillaceae. The record is from RNAcentral.
UUUGGUUAAGUUAGAAAGGGCGCACGGUGGAUGCCUUGACACUAGGAGUCGAUGAAGGACGGGACUAACGCCGAUAUGCUUCGGGGAGCUGUAAGUAAGCUUUGAUCCGAAGAUUUCCGAAUGGGGAAACCCACCAUACGUAAUGGUAUGGUAUCCUUAUCUGAAUACAUAGGGUAAGGAAGACAGACCCAGGGAACUGAAACAUCUAAGUACCUGGAGGAAGAGAAAGCAAAUGCGAUUUCCUGAGUAGCGGCGAGCGAAACGGAACAUAGCCCAAACCAAGAGGCUUGCCUCUUGGGGUUGUAGGACAUUCUAUACGGAGUUACAAAGGAACGAGGUAGACGAAGCGACCUGGAAAGGUCCGUCGUAGAGGGUAACAACCCCGUAGUCGAAACUUCGUUCUCUCUUGAAUGUAUCCUGAGUACGGCGGAACACGUGAAAUUCCGUCGGAAUCUGGGAGGACCAUCUCCCAAGGCUAAAUACUCCCUAGUGAUCGAUAGUGAACCAGUACCGUGAGGGAAAGGUGAAAAGCACCCCGGAAGGGGAGUGAAAGAGAUCCUGAAACCGUGUGCCUACAAAUAGUCAGAGCCCGUUAACGGGUGAUGGCGUGCCUUUUGUAGAAUGAACCGGCGAGUUACGAUCCCGUGCGAGGUUAAGCUGAAGAGGCGGAGCCGCAGCGAAAGCGAGUCUGAAUAGGGCGUUUAGUACGUGGUCGUAGACCCGAAACCAGGUGAUCUACCCAUGUCCAGGGUGAAGUUCAGGUAACACUGAAUGGAGGCCCGAACCCACGCACGUUGAAAAGUGCGGGGAUGAGGUGUGGGUAGCGGAGAAAUUCCAAUCGAACCUGGAGAUAGCUGGUUCUCCCCGAAAUAGCUUUAGGGCUAGCCUUAAGUGUAAGAGUCUUGGAGGUAGAGCACUGAUUGAACUAGGGGUCCUCAUCGGAUUACCGAAUUCAGUCAAACUCCGAAUGCCAAUGACUUAUCCUUAGGAGUCAGACUGCGAGUGAUAAGAUCCGUAGUCAAAAGGGAAACAGCCCAGACCGCCAGCUAAGGUCCCAAAGUGUGUAUUAAGUGGAAAAGGAUGUGGAGUUGCUUAGACAACUAGGAUGUUGGCUUAGAAGCAGCCACCAUUUAAAGAGUGCGUAAUAGCUCACUAGUCGAGUGACUCUGCGCCGAAAAUGUACCGGGGCUAAAUACACCACCGAAGCUGCGGAUUGAUACCAAUGGUAUCAGUGGUAGGGGAGCGUUCUAAGGACAGUGAAGUCAGACCGGAAGGACUGGUGGAGUGCUUAGAAGUGAGAAUGCCGGUAUGAGUAGCGAAAGACGGGUGAGAAUCCCGUCCACCGAAUGCCUAAGGUUUCCUGAGGAAGGCUCGUCCGCUCAGGGUUAGUCAGGACCUAAGCCGAGGCCGACAGGCGUAGGCGAUGGACAACAGGUUGAUAUUCCUGUACCACCUCUUUAUCGUUUGAGCAAUGGAGGGACGCAGAAGGAUAGAAGAAGCGUGCGAUUGGUUGUGCACGUCCAAGCAGUUAGGCUGAUAAGUAGGCAAAUCCGCUUAUCGUGAAGGCUGAGCUGUGAUGGGGAAGCUCCUUAUGGAGCGAAGUCUUUGAUUCCCCGCUGCCAAGAAAAGCUUCUAGCGAGAUAAAAGGUGCCUGUACCGCAAACCGACACAGGUAGGCGAGGAGAGAAUCCUAAGGUGUGCGAGAGAACUCUGGUUAAGGAACUCGGCAAAAUGACCCCGUAACUUCGGGAGAAGGGGUGCUUUCUUAACGGAAAGCCGCAGUGAAUAGGCCCAAGCGACUGUUUAGCAAAAACACAGCUCUCUGCGAAGCCGUAAGGCGAAGUAUAGGGGGUGACACCUGCCCGGUGCUGGAAGGUUAAGGAGAGGGGUUAGCGUAAGCGAAGCUCUGAACUGAAGCCCCAGUAAACGGCGGCCGUAACUAUAACGGUCCUAAGGUAGCGAAAUUCCUUGUCGGGUAAGUUCCGACCCGCACGAAAGGUGUAACGAUUUGGGCACUGUCUCAACCAGAGACUCGGUGAAAUUAUAGUACCUGUGAAGAUGCAGGUUACCCGCGACAGGACGGAAAGACCCCGUGGAGCUUUACUGUAGCCUGAUAUUGAAUUUUGGUACAGUUUGUACAGGAUAGGCGGGAGCCUUUGAAACCGGAGCGCUAGCUUCGGUGGAGGCGCUGGUGGGAUACCGCCCUGACUGUAUUGAAAUUCUAACCUACGGGUCUUAUCGACCCGGGAGACAGUGUCAGGUGGGCAGUUUGACUGGGGCGGUCGCCUCCUAAAGUGUAACGGAGGCGCCCAAAGGUUCCCUCAGAAUGGUUGGAAAUCAUUCGUAGAGUGCAAAGGCAUAAGGGAGCUUGACUGCGAGACCUACAAGUCGAGCAGGGACGAAAGUCGGGCUUAGUGAUCCGGUGGUUCCGCAUGGAAGGGCCAUCGCUCAACGGAUAAAAGCUACCCCGGGGAUAACAGGCUUAUCUCCCCCAAGAGUCCACAUCGACGGGGAGGUUUGGCACCUCGAUGUCGGCUCAUCGCAUCCUGGGGCUGUAGUCGGUCCCAAGGGUUGGGCUGUUCGCCCAUUAAAGCGGUACGCGAGCUGGGUUCAGAACGUCGUGAGACAGUUCGGUCCCUAUCCGUCGUGGGCGUAGGAAAUUUGAGAGGAGCUGUCCUUAGUACGAGAGGACCGGGAUGGACGCACCGCUGGUGUACCAGUUGUUCUGCCAAGGGCAUAGCUGGGUAGCUAUGUGCGGAAGGGAUAAGUGCUGAAAGCAUCUAAGCAUGAAGCCCCCCUCAAGAUGAGAUUUCCCAUAGCGUAAGCUAGUAAGAUCCCUGAAAGAUGAUCAGGUUGAUAGGUUCGAGGUGGAAGCAUGGUGACAUGUGGAGCUGACGAAUACUAAUAGAUCGAGGACUUAACCAUAUAA